UACGUAGGUGGCGAGCGUUAUCCGGAAUUAUUGGGCGUAAAGAGCGCGCAGGUGGUUGAUUAAGUCUGAUGUGAAAGCCCACGGCUUAACCGUGGAGGGUCAUUGGAAACUGGUCGACUUGAGUGCAGAAGAGGGAAGUGGAAUUCCAUGUGUAGCGGUGAAAUGCGUAGAGAUAUGGAGGAACACCAGUGGCGAAGGCGGCUUCCUGGUCUGUAACUGACACUGAGGCGCGAAAGCGUGGGGAGCAAACAGG
Molecule: non-coding RNA, 253 nt
Filed under: Turicibacter sanguinis
Lineage: Bacteria; Bacillati; Bacillota; Erysipelotrichia; Erysipelotrichales; Turicibacteraceae
Also listed under: 4 other names
Description: partial 16S ribosomal RNA
Rfam family: Bacterial small subunit ribosomal RNA
Source: RNAcentral